RNAcentral lists this long non-coding RNA (807 nucleotides) under Mus caroli (Ryukyu mouse). RNAcentral's name for it is "predicted gene 14291 (MGP_CAROLIEiJ_G0003315.1)". The record is from RNAcentral. Lineage: Eukaryota; Metazoa; Chordata; Mammalia; Rodentia; Muridae.
GCGUGCUAGCCAAUCACUCUACCAACCGAGCUAAAAUCCCAGCCUGUUAUAAAAGAAAGAAACGGAAUAUGGAGGGAAUUAAAAUGAGGGCAUGCAUGAACAUCGUCCCCCAAGCGCUGCCUCAGCAUCUCAGGUCUCCACCGGAGCUGCCUGCCCUUAACCACGGAGGAGCUGGGAGCUGUCACCUUUAAGGGGAACCAGCUCUUCACGCAGCACAGCUAAAGAUAAAAGGACCUCAUCACAGAUGUGUCUGCACCACGCUUGGGUGUCUCUGGCUGUCAGCUCUCCAGUGCCAAACAGAAGUGUCCCACUGCCAUCCCUAAAGCCCUCGGAAUGAAGAACAAACUGCCCACCCAACAUCUGCUUCUAGGAGAGGUGUGUAGGCUGAGCUCUACUGGCAAGAGCUGUGUGACCCCAGGCAAGUCACUUGACCUCUCUGAGCUGGCAUUCUCAUCUGGAAAGCUGGCAUAACACUCCAUCUUCUCUAAGAUGCUGCGAGGAACGAAAAUAUGUAUCUGCUGUGCCCAUCUCAGCAUUUCAAGGUACUCAGGAUGCUGGGCGUGGUGGCACUGAGGCAGGUGGAUCUCUGAGUUCAAGGCCAGCCUGGUCUACAGAGUGAGUUCCAGGGCAGCCAGUGUCGCAAGGGAGGCUUGCAAGCCACAGGACCUCUGAAAGUGCAGUCAGUGCUCUUACCCACUGAGCCAUCUCACUGGCUUCCCUAUGUUGAUUUUUAACGUGCAGGCUGAACAAAGCCAUCUUGCAGACUGGUAUACACUGUAGCAAGGCUUGAAUGCUGGGAUACAGGGG